GAGUUUGAUCCUGGCUCAGAUUGAACGCUGGCGGCAUGCCUUACACAUGCAAGUCGAACGGCAGCACGGGAGCUUGCUCCUGGUGGCGAGUGGCGAACGGGUGAGUAAUGCAUCGGAACGUAUCCUGGAGUGGGGGAUAACGUAGCGAAAGUUACGCUAAUACCGCAUAUUCUGUGAGCAGGAAGGCGGGGGACCUUCGGGCCUCGCGCUCUUGGAGCGGCCGAUGUCGGAUUAGCUAGUUGGUGAGGUAAAGGCUCACCAAGGCGACGAUCCGUAGCAGGUCUGAGAGGAUGAUCUGCCACACUGGAACUGAGACACGGUCCAGACUCCUACGGGAGGCAGCAGUGGGAAUUUUGGACAAUGGGGGCAACCCUGAUCCAGCCAUGCCGCGUGAGUGAAGAAGGCCUCGGUU
Molecule: ribosomal RNA, 412 nt
Filed under: bacterium enrichment culture clone ALO1_GLFRUDD03G3O9P
Lineage: Bacteria
Description: bacterial SSU rRNA
Rfam family: Bacterial small subunit ribosomal RNA
Source: RNAcentral